RNAcentral lists this ribosomal RNA (480 nucleotides) under uncultured bacterium. RNAcentral's name for it is "partial 16S ribosomal RNA". It matches the Rfam family "Bacterial small subunit ribosomal RNA", at positions 28 to 523 of the family's 1533-position model. The record is from RNAcentral.
GACGAACGCUGGCGGCGUGCUUAACACAUGCAAGUCGAGCGGUAAGGCCCUUUCGGGGGUACACGAGCGGCGAACGGGUGAGUAACACGUGGGUGACCUGCCCUCCACUCUGGGAUAAGCCCGGGAAACUGGGUCUAAUACCGGAUAGGACACAUGAUCGCAUGGUUGUGUGUGGAAAGUUUUUUCGGUGGGGGAUGGGCCCGCGGCCUAUCAGCUUGUUGGUGGGGUAAUGGCCUACCAAGGCGGUGACGGGUAGCCGGCCUGAGAGGGCGACCGGCCACACUGGGACGGAGACACGGCCCAGACUCCUACGGGAGGCAGCAGUGGGGAAUAUUGCGCAAUGGGCGGAAGCCUGACGCAGCGACGCCGCGUGGGGGAUGACGGCCUUCGGGUUGUAAACCUCUUUCGCCAGGGACGAAGCUUUUGUGACGGUACCUGGAGAAGAAGCACCGGCCAACUACGUGCCAGCAGCCGCCGUAA